GGUAUCAGAAGUGCGAAUGCUGACAUAAGUAACGAUAAAGCGGGUGAAAAGCCCGCUCGCCGGAAGACCAAGGGUUCCUGUCCAACGUUAAUCGGGGCAGGGUGAGUCGACCCCUAAGGCGAGGCCGAAAGGCGUAGUCGAUGGGAAACGGGUUAAUAUUCCCGUACUUGGUGUUACUGCGAAGGGGGGACGGAGAAGGCUAUGUUGGCCGGGCGACGGUUGUCCCGGUUUAAGCGUGUAGGUGUGUGUUCCAGGUAAAUCCGGUUCACUUUAACACUGAGGCGUGACGACGAGGCACUACGGUGCUGAAGCAACAAAUGCCCUGCUUCCAGGAAAAGCCUCUAAGCAUCAGGUAACAUCAAAUCGUACCCCAAACCGACACAGGUGGUCAGGUAGAGAAUACCAAGGCGCUUGAGAGAACUCGGGUGAAGGAACUAGGCAAAAUGGUGCCGUAACUUCGGGAGAAGGCACGCUGAUAUGUAGGUGAAGUGAUUUACUCAUGGAGCUGAAGUCAGUCGAAGAUACCAGCUGGCUGCAACUGUUUAUUAAAAACACAGCACUGUGCAAACACGAAAGUGGACGUAUACGGUGUGACGCCUGCCCGGUGCCGGAAGGUUAAUUGAUGGGGUCAGCGCAAGCGAAGCUCCUGAUCGAAGCCCCGGUAAACGGCGGCCGUAACUAUAACGGUCCUAAGGUAGCGAAAUUCCUUGUCGGGUAAGUUCCGACCUGCACGAAUGGCGUAAUGAUGGCCAGGCUGUCUCCACCCGAGACUCAGUGAAAUUGAACUCGCUGUGAAGAUGCAGUGUACCCGCGGCAAGACGGAAAGACCCCGUGAACCUUUACUAUAGCUUGACACUGAACAUUGAGCCUUGAUGUGUAGGAUAGGUGGGAGGCUUUGAAGCGUGGACGCCAGUCUGCGUGGAGCCGACCUUGAAAUACCACCCUUUAAUGUUUGAUGUUCUAACGUGGACCCGUAAUCCGGGUUGCGGACAGUGUCUGGUGGGUAGUUUGACUGGGGCGGUCUCCUCCUAAAGAGUAACGGAGGAGCACGAAGGUUGGCUAAUCCUGGUCGGACAUCAGGAGGUUAGUGCAAUGGCAUAAGCCAGCUUGACUGCGAGCGUGACGGCGCGAGCAGGUGCGAAAGCAGGUCAUAGUGAUCCGGUGGUUCUGAAUGGAAGGGCCAUCGCUCAACGGAUAAAAGGUACUCCGGGGAUAACAGGCUGAUACCGCCCAAGAGUUCAUAUCGACGGCGGUGUUUGGCACCUCGAUGUCGGCUCAUCACAUCCUGGGGCUGAAGUAGGUCCCAAGGGUAUGGCUGUUCGCCAUUUAAAGUGGUACGCGAGCUGGGUUUAGAACGUCGUGAGACAGUUCGGUCCCUAUCUGCCGUGGGCGCUGGAGAACUGAGGGGGGCUGCUCCUAGUACGAGAGGACCGGAGUGGACGCAUCACUGGUGUUCGGGUUGUCAUGCCAAUGGCACUGCCCGGUAGCUAAAUGCGGAAGAGAUAAGUGCUGAAAGCAUCUAAGCACGAAACUUGCCCCGAGAUGAGUUCU
RNAcentral lists this ribosomal RNA (1551 nucleotides) under Salmonella enterica subsp. enterica serovar Saintpaul. RNAcentral's name for it is "bacterial LSU rRNA". It matches the Rfam family "Bacterial large subunit ribosomal RNA", at positions 1278 to 2812 of the family's 2925-position model. The record is from RNAcentral. Lineage: Bacteria; Pseudomonadati; Pseudomonadota; Gammaproteobacteria; Enterobacterales; Enterobacteriaceae.